GAUGAACGCUGGCGGCGUGCCUAAUACAUGCAAGUCGAGCGAACAGAUAAGGAGCUUGCUCCUUUGACGUUAGCGGCGGACGGGUGAGUAACACGUGGAUAACCUACCUAUAAGACUGGGAUAACUUCGGGAAACCGGAGCUAAUACCGGAUAAUAUUUCGAACCGCAUGGUUCGAUAGUGAAAGAUGGUUUUGCUAUCACUUAUAGAUGGACCCGCGCCGUAUUAGCUAGUUGGUAAGGUAACGGCUUACCAAGGCGACGAUGCGUAGCCGACCUGAGAGGGUGAUCGGCCACACUGGAACUGAGACACGGUCCAGACUCCUACGGGAGGCAGCAGUAGGGAAUCUUCCGCAAUGGGCGAAAGCCUGACGGAGCAACGCCGCGUGAGUGAUGAAGGUCUUCGGAUCGUAAAACUCUGUUAUUAGGGAAGAACAUACGUGUAAGUAACUGUGCACGUCUUGACGGUACCUAAUCAGAAAGCCACGGCUAACUACGUG
This 497-nucleotide ribosomal RNA is filed under the name uncultured bacterium. RNAcentral describes it as "partial 16S ribosomal RNA". It matches the Rfam family "Bacterial small subunit ribosomal RNA", at positions 28 to 507 of the family's 1533-position model. The record is from RNAcentral.